Molecule: long non-coding RNA, 761 nt
Organism: Sphaerodactylus townsendi
Lineage: Eukaryota; Metazoa; Chordata; Lepidosauria; Squamata; Sphaerodactylidae
Exons: 2
Source: RefSeq, a predicted model, not a curated record
CGACCGUGCAGUGAAAAUAGCAUUAGGGCGACGGGCUAAAUAUAGAGAGAUUAAGCGGUGGAAAGAUUUCAGGGAGGAAGGCAAUGGCGGCGCGUGCUGCAGUUGCUGAGACAGAACGCAGGUGACUGUUGUCUCUUGGUGGGGCAGGUGGACCCAGCAGCAGAGGGCUUCCUCCCUACACACGAGGAGAAGGUUCUCCCUGCCUUGGGAUAGCAGGAAAAGUGGAUACAUGUAUUUGUUCAGGAAAGGUCUAUCUGCCCAGUUUUUCUUCAGCUGCUUCCUUAAGUCUACUCCUGGGCUGUUUGGGGCAGGAAGCCAGGUGGAUCUCUCGCUAUCUGCUGCCAACCCUGGGGCCAUCUCGGCUCCAAAGACUGUUUCUCACGAAAUCUUGGGAAAUUCAGCAGGGAAUAAAGGUGACUGGGAAUGUCAGCUUCAUCAGAACUGGGUUUUGCCAAGUAUGGUGCUUCGAUACCUCGUCAAUAAAUGCUGCUGAUAGACACUUCAGAGUCUGUUUCUUGGCUUAGGGUCCCAAGACUCAACAAGCAGUUGCAAAAUUCCUGACUAUGGCACUUAAUUAUACUACUCCUUACAGUUUAAUGGAAUAAUUCUACAUACUACAACUAUGUAAGUUUCUACAAACCUGUAAUUGUAAAUUUUUAAUUGAAUUUUUUAUAUGUUAACUUUAAAUAUACUAUUUACCUGCCCCCUUUUGCUCAUGACUUGUUGGCCCAUGAGCACUAAAUAAAUGAAUGGAAUGGUAA